Molecule: long non-coding RNA, 312 nt
Filed under: Mytilus galloprovincialis (Mediterranean mussel)
Lineage: Eukaryota; Metazoa; Mollusca; Bivalvia; Mytilida; Mytilidae
Source: RNAcentral
AUUGUGUAAAAUAGUAUACAAAAGAAAAAGAGAGAUGGAUUUUUUUUAACAUAUAUGAUAAGAAAACCAAAACGAGAUAAUACAGCUUACUAUGAGAAUCAAUCUUUAAAACCAUACAUGUAACAAUAUACUAUAUAUUAUAUAGGUGUGAUACAUGUAUCAAUAUAAAAUGACUGGCAGAGUAUGUGAAUAUGUUUGCAACCACCUCUUCCCCAAUUAACUCACCUAUACCUCCACCAAUCUCAUUUCACUGUGCGUUAUUAAUAAAACAGUCAGAUGCCUCAUCAGUUUGUGGUAUCCUAACUUAUCAAG